RNAcentral lists this long non-coding RNA (2725 nucleotides) under Callithrix jacchus (white-tufted-ear marmoset). RNAcentral describes it as "lncRNA (ENSCJAG00000077772.1)". The record is from RNAcentral. Lineage: Eukaryota; Metazoa; Chordata; Mammalia; Primates; Cebidae.
AUGGAGUCCCCAAGGAGAAUGCUGACCCGAAACAUGGGGAGAACCUUGAAAAACUUGUCUGUACCAUGCACCUAUCUCUACAACAUCAGGACUCACUGCUGGCCACUAGUUAGCAGGAUUCAUCACUACCUUUGCUAUAAUCAGGAACAAAAGUCACAUAAUGGCUGCCACAGCUCCAGGCAUACCAUCUUUACCCAACAGUAUCCAAACGAGAAGAGAAGGAAAGGAAAGCCAAAAAGGACAUUCUACUUAUUCAACUCUCUUUUCAUUAGAGAAGAUUAGUUUCUAGAUGCCCUCAACUUCCUUUUUAGGAAAUCAUACCAGAAUAAUCUCUCCAAAGGUAAGAUGACAGAAGUGGCUUAGACUAAUCAUGACACACCCUUUGGAUUAGCUACAUUGCCAUGUAGAUUCUGCUACCAAGGAAAAUAUGUCCAAGGCCAAACAGAUAGCCAGUUACAAAGCUACAAGACAGGCAAUGGGUCCUUCAUUUCCUGACCAUUGGAAUGUUAUCCAUUAUCCUCUACCAUAUUCUUCUACCUUCACCAGGAGUUAAAUGUCCAUAAUAAAUUGUUAAAUAAGCCUGUAAUCUAUAUUUUUAAUGAGGUAGUAUUCACCUUAACCAUAGCAACUCUAAAGACUUUAGAUGGUUACCAAAAUGCAAAGCCAUAUAAUAAAUGGUGUAUUUUUAUUCAUUUGUUCAUUCAACAAAACUUUGAUACUACAUGCAAAACUUUGUCUAGGUAGUUAAUAUUUAUCAGGAGGAAAAUAGAUGAAGAGUCUUGUCCCUAAAGUACUAGUUGGAGGGACAAAUAAAUAAUAAUAAACAUUAAUGAGUUUUAAGCCCCUCUCUUUGGGAGGAUUACACUUUCUACAUUUCUUACCUCUGGCUUGGCCAUAUUAUUUGUUUUAGUUAAUGAAAUAUCAGUGGAAGUAAUGGAUGUUACUUCCAAGAAGAAACUUCAGAUCUUUUCUAUCAGGAGAAAGCCUGAAUCAGAAGGAAAAAGACACUGAAGUCAAGCCCAUGGAAAUAAAAUGUUUUUGUACGUGACUGAUUGAGAUCAUUUGUUACCAUAACAUGAUAGACUAAACUGAUAAAUACUGUAAAUUACAUAAAGAGAGCACAGACACUAAGUAUUGUGAAAAGAAAAAAAUAGUUGCACAAAAUAUGGAGGACAGUAUCAGUUAGCAGCAUUAAAUAGGGUGGUCAGAGUAGACCUCUUUGAGGAGAUCUGAAUUUGCAUUCUGGAAAAAAAAAUGUGAAGAAAUUUUUUCCAAGAAAAUAUCUGAGGAAGGAGUAUCCAGGUAGAAGGGCCAGCUGGAGGAAAGUUUCUCAGAUGAGAAGAUGCCUCCAAUAUUUGGGGGCUAUCAACACGUCUUCUGAGGCUGUAGCAAGAAAGGGGAAAGUAAUAGUAUGGGAAUUACAGGCUCAUGUAGUGGGGCUUAGGGCUCAUGAGAAAGACUUUGGCUAUCACUCUGAGCUAAAUGGGGAGGCAAGGCAGGGUUUCCAGCAGAGGAAUAGAAUAGUGCCACAGUGACACUAAAAAGUGUCACUUUGGCUGCUGUGUUAAUAGACUACUGUUAAAGGGUAAACAUGGAGCAGAGAGGCAAAUGAAGGGAAAAAUAAUUGAAAUAAUAUAAUUUUUGAAAUAGGUAUUUUCCAACUGACAGUUUGAUUUUAUUAAGGAUCUAGGAAAGAUUUUAUUCAAAACAUUUUUCAACAGAUUUAUAAAAAUAACAUAUAUUCUUAUAUUAAAAAUGUAAAACUAUAAUUUUUAAUCACUGAUAUAUUCAAUGAAUUUGUCUUAUAAUAUUUUUAAAUGAGAAAAAUACUAGACAUAUAAGUGUCAAAGUACUUAGAAAAUUCAGAUAAAAUUCUGCUAAGUGGAGGAGACCUAUUUAACAGUGUUAAUAGGCUAUUGUUGAAGGGUAAACAUGGAAUAGAGAGAGCAGUUAAAAGGCCACGGCAAGACUGCAGGCUAGAUAUGAUGGUCACUUGACCAAAAGUAGCCGAGGAGGUCAUAAGAUAUAGUAAGAUUCUGGAUCUAUGUUGAAAAUAGAGAACAUAAUAUGUAUGUGGAUUGGAUGUGGGAUGAAGAAAAAGAGAAGGCUCCAUGCCCCUCUGAUAGAGUGAACGUAAUACUUGCUCUCUCUAGUCAUGAGAAGCAUUCAACCUGCCAUUCCUGCUGACUGCUUUGUGUGACAGCCAUUUGUGUCCACUAGGCCUGUGAGAUACAAAAUGCCACCAGAUCACUAGUUGGAAGUGUCCAUGGCCACAGUGGUUUGUGAAAUACAAGUAGGUAUUAGAAACAUUCUAAGCAUAUAUAGAUGAGAGUAUACACAUUCCUGCUACAGUGGUUUUAUUAUGGAUAUUACCACAUGUCAUGUAUGGAAUGGCAUAAAUCUAAAACUAUUUGUUUUAUUAUUUUGUAAUGCUUUGUGAUAGCUUGCGAUAAAUUUCUUGGCCUCACUAAAGACAAAACAAAUUCAUGUUUAAUAAAAAAUACUGAAUGUUCAUUCCUCAAGAAAAUUGAUAAAUAUGCAACUUACACAAACUCAUUUACCACCCUCCCUGGGGAUCAUCAUGGUACCACAGGUCAAAUGAAAACCAGCACACAAAAAUAUAAUGAAGCAGCAUCAGUGUCUGCUAUAAGUCAGUUGUUAUUUGAGAAAAACUGUUACCAAAAAUGAUAAUAUGUGUACCUGCAAAUGUAGUUUUAUAUGUCAC